Molecule: ribosomal RNA, 266 nt
Filed under: uncultured Enterobacteriaceae bacterium
Lineage: Bacteria; Pseudomonadati; Pseudomonadota; Gammaproteobacteria; Enterobacterales; Enterobacteriaceae
Description: partial 16S ribosomal RNA
Rfam family: Bacterial small subunit ribosomal RNA
Source: RNAcentral
AGGAGCUUGCUCCUUGGGUGACGAGUGGCGGACGGGUGAGUAAUGUCGUGGGAUCUGCCCGAUAGGAGGGGAUAACCACUGGAAACGGUAGCUAAUACCGCAUAACGUCGCAAGACCAAAGGAGGGGGACCUUCGGGCCUCUUGCCAUCAGAUGUGCCCAGAUGGGAUUAGCUAGUAGGUGGGGUAACGGCUCACCUAGGCGACGAUCCCUAGCUGGUCUGAGAGGAUGACCAGCCACACUGGAACUGAGACACGGUCCAGACUCC